This 19-nucleotide non-coding RNA is filed under the name Canis lupus familiaris (dog). Lineage: Eukaryota; Metazoa; Chordata; Mammalia; Carnivora; Canidae. RNAcentral also lists the same sequence under 1 other name. The record is from RNAcentral.
AGAAAUAUGUCUGAUAAAA